GGGGCAGCAUGGUCUAGCUGCUAAGACUGAUGGCGACCGGCGCACGGGUGAGUAACGCGUAUCCAACCUCCCCCACAGUAGCGGAUAGCCCGGCGAAAGUCGGAUUAAUACGCUAUGAGGUGCAGUAUUGGCAUCAUGGCCGCACGAAAGAUUUAUCGCUGUGGGAUGGGGAUGCGUCUGAUUAGCUUGUCGGCGGGGUAACGGCCCACCGAGGCGACGAUCAGUAGGGGUUCUGAGAGGAAGGUCCCCCCACAUUGGUACUGAGACACGGACCAAACUCCUACGGGAGGCAGCAGUGAGGAAUAUUGGUCAAUGGCCGGAAGGCUGAACCAGCCAAAAGUAGCGUGCAGGACGACGGCCCUACGGGUUGUAAACUGUCUUUUAGUAGGGAAUAAAGUGUGGUACGUGUACCGUUUGUAUGUACCCUAUGAAUAAGGACCGGCUAAUUCCGUGCCAGCAGCCGC
This 464-nucleotide ribosomal RNA is filed under the name uncultured bacterium. RNAcentral's name for it is "bacterial SSU rRNA". It matches the Rfam family "Bacterial small subunit ribosomal RNA", at positions 66 to 518 of the family's 1533-position model. The record is from RNAcentral.